UCUUUGUCUUUAUUUUUAGGAAAUAGAGCCAGCUAGCAGCAGUCAAGGUGAAGUGGGCAAGGCGGUCCAGUCGCGUUUCGUCGAGACCCCGUCGCCAGCCGGCUGGCACGCCUGCUUCGCCGCUCCCGUGAGCCCUGUGGAAGUGUCACAGGGACCGCGUGACGGAGCCUUUUCCACGUAAAGGGGCCGUGUAGCUGGCCUUCAGGAAGGGGCCGAGGGCUUCCCGUGAGUUGGGGAUGUCGGGAGGAGGAGCGAGGGCCUGUUCAAGUCUCAGCAAUGCCACAUCACUUUUUCUUCUCUUAACUCAGGCGUGCCCUGUGAUGACAGUGUCUGGUCCCGGCGUGGCCGUAUCGUGCGGCCUCAGGACACGGCUGUUCGCAGGACACCCUGACGGAGAGACGACAGCCUGGCGAUGGCAGGAACUUCCCAGAUAGCCAGGCGGCCUUCCUUGGCGCUCCGUGUGGAUCCUCCCCAGCGGGCAUCCGAGAGCUGAGUCAAAGGCUACGACCCGCAGAGGGGAUGAAAGCGGGGUGCCGGGUCGGGACUUGUGACCUGGGAUUUUUGAGUCAGCUUUGGGGACGGGGAGGUCCAGGCUGUGGCCCCUUAGGCCACAUGGUGGCAGAGCCUCACUUUUGUUCACAGUGCUGAGGUGUGCAGGACAGAGCAGCCUCGGGGUGCGUCGUGUCACUUGUCCAUCGUGCCUUCUGUGUUUUUUGUGCCUCUUGUGUUGUAUGUGCCUUCCCUUAUCCCUUCUGGGGGCUUACUAGAAACCCCAGUGUCACUCAUAGCAUCUCUGAUCUCUGGGCUCCUCGGCCCGACGCCAUUGAAGCUUUGCCUCAGGAGCUCUCAGAGGCCUUGGAAUCGCAUCUGUUUUGAAAAGCAUCCGAUCGGAUGUCUUUUAGACGUCUUGUUCCGAGCUGUGUCAACAGCCGUGCACCGCGAGGAUCCAUUGUUGCGGCUUAGGACUUGAAGAAACGCAAAGAUAGGUAGAGGAUUGCUGCCAUAAGAUUCUUGGGCCUCCGUCUUGGCGGUUCCUGGAGUUUGUCAUUCCGUCAGCAUCUUCUUCCUCCCGGGUUCUGCGAGCUUCAUCAGCUCGCCUUCAUUCUCACCCGGCUCAUCUCGUUCUGCAUUCUCUCAGUCCUUGCGGCCGUUCUUGUGGCCCAGAGUUUUGUCUCCCCAUUGUGUCCCCUCGUCUGUUGUCUGGUGUGUCACGGGUGUCUGGGUGUAGUUGUCCCGGAGCUGCUCUGCCCUGCUGCCCAGCCUGGCUGUAGGUGUAAAAGGCCAAGUCCCAGGCCCCUGUAAUUUGAAAUUUGUGAUGUAGGGUGGAGUUGGGGUCUAGAACAUAUUCCUAGAUCAACACAAGAUGUCUGGAGCUGUGAAGUUCCCCUGCAGCACUUUGACUUUUGUCUCAGCUUUCUUUCAGAUGCGGACGGA
RNAcentral lists this long non-coding RNA (1434 nucleotides) under Cyanistes caeruleus (blue tit). RNAcentral's name for it is "lncRNA (ENSCCEG00000003303.1)". The record is from RNAcentral. Lineage: Eukaryota; Metazoa; Chordata; Aves; Passeriformes; Paridae.